ACACAUUGACAUUGGGAUGGGGAUCUCUUGUGUCCCCUCUUUAUGUUUUAAUUAAUUAUAAGUAUUUUUCUUUUCUUUUUAAAAUUUCAUGUUUAGCACAUUAAAUUUAUUUUUUUCUUUUGUUACUGUCAUUAUUUUUUUUAAUAAUUAAAUCAAAUUUCUAUAUUAAAAUUCACAUAAGCAGACGUGGUAACAUAUAGGCUCAAUUGAUGAUCCCAAUUUUUUAAUGUGGCAGAGAUACAAAUGUGAAAACUUCUUGUAAAAAUAAUUAAUUUUGAACAUAUAACUUCAUAAUUAUAAAGAGUGCAUGCUAAGAAUUUGAAGGUUAAACUUGUUAAACAUAAAUUCUGAAUAUAUUUUUCUUUGUAAGAAAAUAUCUAUUUUCUUAAGAUCCUAGAUACACCUUUAAUUAUGACAUGUUUUAAUUGAACAUCAAAAAUCAAAACACAUGAUAAAGUGACAAUUUCAUAAAUCCUCCUCCUUAUCUAAUUUCCUAAUUAAUGUAAACUCCCUUAUGAGGUGUGAUACUAUACUUACUUCCUUCAUUUUAUUUUUUUAAUAUCUAUUUUCAACUUUAUUAAUGUGAAUAGUUAUGCUUCAUGUAGUAAAUUUGGUAAUUAAAACUACAAAAAAUUGAAGUUAAAUCACAAAUUUCACUGUCGCUACUCGUUAAAUUGCUCAUACCUAAUUAACAUCAUGAUUUUUUCAC
RNAcentral lists this long non-coding RNA (709 nucleotides) under Solanum tuberosum (potato). RNAcentral describes it as "long non-coding RNA (STUB_LNC006175)". Lineage: Eukaryota; Viridiplantae; Streptophyta; Magnoliopsida; Solanales; Solanaceae. The record is from RNAcentral.